Molecule: ribosomal RNA, 7974 nt
Filed under: Triticum aestivum (bread wheat)
Lineage: Eukaryota; Viridiplantae; Streptophyta; Magnoliopsida; Poales; Poaceae
Description: partial small subunit ribosomal RNA
Source: RNAcentral
AUGGAUUUUCGAAAGCAUCAACCUUCUGCUAAUGCAACCUCUAUUAGUAUGGUCCACCUGGAUUUUCCUAGCCAAAUGCUUGAGGAUAUUGAUUCUGUGAAUCAAGUGAUGUCAGCAGAUUUUCCAUCGGAGGCUCCUAUUGAUAUUGAUAUGAGGGAACUUUACUUUCUCAUUAUGCAUUUUUUAUCACAUGGUCCAUUUAAGCGGGCUGCUGGAGAGCUCUGCAAUGAUCUUCUGGAGCAUCAGUUGUUACCUAGAAGAUAUCAUGCUUGGUAUUCACGUGGUGGUUUUCAUAGCGGCGAAGAAAAUGAUGAUGGUAUAUCGCUCCCUUUGGGUUACCUAAAGCUAGUUGAGAGAUACCCCCACAUUGGUAAAGACCACUUGGUGAAGCUGUUAAAGCAACUGAUGAUGACUUCCUGCCGCCCAGACAGCUUGGUUAGAGAUGUAUCUCCAAAUGCUGCUGAUGUUCCAACGCUUCUUGGCUCCAACUCCUUUUCCCUUCUUGCACCUGAUAGGUGCAAGCAAGAUAAGGAAACUCUCAGGCUGCCGAGGUAUCUCCGGUGGCCACACAUACAUGCUGAUCAAGUUCAUGGUUUAAGUUUGAGAGAGAUUGGUGGUUUCACUAAGAAUCAUCGAGCUCCUUCUGUACGUGCAUCAUGCUAUGCCAUUGCAAAGCCAUCAACCCUUGUUGAAAAGAUGCAGAUUAUAAAGAAAUUGAGGGGACAUCAGAAUGCUGCGUAUUGUGCUACUUUUGACCGCACAGGACGUUAUGUAAUUACUGGUUCUGAUGACCGCCUUGUCAAAAUUUGGGCGAUGGAAACAGCAUUUUGUCUGGCUAGUUGCCGAGGCCAUGAAGGUGAUAUUACUGAUCUCGCUGUGAGUUCCAAUAAUGCUGUGGUAGCAUCUUCCUCCAAUGAUUUCAUUAUUAGAGUGUGGCGCAUACCCGACGGCAUGCCAAUGUCAGUGUUGAAGGGCCAUACUGGGGUUGUAACAACUAUUGCAUUUAGUCCAAGGCCAGGUGCUGCUUUCCAGCUGUUGUCAUCAUCUGAUGAUGGGACAUGCAGGAUUUGGGAUGCUAGGCAUUCUCAACAAUCUCCACGAAUAUAUAUACCAAAACCUUCAGAUGUUGCCGCUGGGAAGAGUGGUGAUGCAUCUUCCAGUGCUGUUCAAGUUCAACCAAUAAAUCACCAAAUCUUAUGUUGUUCAUUCAAUGCUAAUGGAACCGUGUUUGUUACUGGCAGUUCAGACACUUAUGCGAGGGUGUGGAGUGCUUACAAGAGUUGUUCUGAGGAACAUGACCAACCGAAUCAUGAGAUGGAUAUAUUAUCAGGUCAUGAAAAUGAUGUAUACUACGUGCAGUUUAGUGGAUGUGUUGUAUCAAGAUUCUUUUCAUCUGACAGCAGUCACACCAGUAAGGAAGAAAAUAACCUUAAGCUAAGAAAUUCAUGGUUCACACAUAAUAUUGUUACCUGCUCCCGUGAUGGCAGCGCAAUUAUAUGGGUUCCACGGUCUCGGAGAUCACAUGGAAAGAUUGGACGCUGGACACGCGCUUACCAUCUCAAGGUUCCUCCACCUCCAAUGGCUCCUCAACCACUUCGCGGUGGUCCACGUCAAAGAUACAAUCCAACUCCUCGUGGUGUGAAUAUGAUUGUUUGGAGUUUGGACAAUCGCUUUGUGCUUGCUGCUAUCAUGGAUUGCAGAAUUUGUGUUUGGAAUGCUUCUGAUGGGAGCUUGGUGCAUUCACUGAUUGGCCAUCAGGAAUCAACAUUUGUUCUUGAUGUGCAUCCGUUCAACCCCCGUAUAGCUAUGAGUGCUGGGUAUGAUGGAAAGACAAUCAUCUGGGAUAUAUGGGAAGGAAAGCCUGUACAGAUCUACGAAACUGACCACUAUAAGCUUGUUGACGGCAAGUUCUCUCCGUAAGUGUCACUAUAAUUUCUUCAUAUUCGCGACAACAUGAAUUUUUGUUUUGGCCCUUAAGCAAAUGUACAGUUUAUUUGUAUUUCUUUUGUAACAACGCGCCUGCAUUGAGAUGAUACUCCAUAAAAUGUUUAGAACAAUGAAGAAAAAUAGCAGGAAAAACCCUGGGACUACUUAUAAAUUUUAUGGAUGUUCCAUUAAUCUUAAGAAGGUAGGGAUAUUCCAUAGUAAAACUGAGAAUGUAUCGUGGUGUGCUUUUUUUUUUUUAAGUUCUGUUCAGAAGUGAUCCCUCCCUUUUCUGCUAUAUUUCUUGACUUUUUCUGUUUUUGUUUCACGGAUGACUUAAUGGUGAAAUCUGGUUGACCAGGGAGAAAAGUGCACUUAUCUGUCGAUGGCAGCUAGGUUUCCAUCUCUCUCUCUAGACUUGGUUGCCCAGAAUUUCUGGGUACUCGCCUUGUUCAUAAAGGUGAGGCGAGCUUCCAUGAUGUGCUCCCUGGAACGCUUGACUGUUUAGGCUACAGCAUGGCAACUAUGCUGGUCGAAAGUAGAUGAUCCUUAGUGUUCCAGUUUUCUGUUAUAGUGCAGCCAAAAUAAUAUGAAUUCAACUGACGGCGUUACUUAUUUCUCUGUAGUGUUGGGAUGUAUUAUGCCAAAAUGAAGUUUUGCCAUUUGACCAGUUACCAUAGAUUGCAGAUGAAUCUGAGUUUAUUUGUCUGUCGUGAUGUCUUGAUGUGUUGCUGAAUGGACAUUUAGGGAUGGAACAUCACUUGUCCUCACCAAUGAAAUUGGGCAAAUAUUCAUUAUUGGUACAGGGCAGGGCGAGUCCCAAAAGGAUGCGAAAUAUGAUCAGUUCUUUCUUGGAGACUACCGGCCCCUUGUUCAUGAUACAAAUGGAAGUGCUAUUGAUCAGGAAACACAACUUGCACCUUAUAGGAGAAAUAUUCAAGACCUUUUGUGCGACUCGGGUAUGAUACCUUACCCAGAGCCUUUUCAGAGCAUGUACCAGAAAUACCGGUUAGGUAUCCUGGGUAUUGAAUGGCGACCUCCCUCAGUAAAUUUUGCUGUUGGGCCCACUUACGAUGCAACCACUGGCGAGUACCAAAUCAUCCCAGUUACUGAUCCAGAUAGGUGGGAACCACUUCCAGAGAUAACAGACUUCAUCGAGCUUGAACCAGAAAAUGAAGCGAUCUCUGAUGAUACUGAUUCCGAGUACAAUGGCAUGGAUGACUAUUCUAGUGAAGGAGAACAGGGGAUUUGGGGUGGUCAUGCUUCUGGUGCUUCAUACUCAAGUGCAGAGAUUGAUGGAUCUAAUCUUAACAGUACUGCUAAUCUCCGCAGAUCUAGAAGAAAGAAGAAAAGAUGUGAUGCUGAUCUUGUUACUUCAUCUGAUCGGCGAGUUAAGAAAAGAAAUUUGGAUGGGCACGGUGUGGCUACACCGUCAAGGCCACAUAGAGGCAGGAAGUCUAAGACUGGCCGUGCUACCAAAAGGAAAAUAUCUCCUAAAUCUAGGAGAUUGUGACCUCAAAGACGUGCUACUCACAGCACACACAGUUUUUUCUUGAAGAUUGAAACUUCAACAGAAGAGGAAGAUGGAUCAGCGAGCAGUCUUUCAGACAACGAACUCAACACAGAAAGCACUGAAGCUGAGCAGUCAGCGUGGCAUGGCCUGCCAAGAUUUGGUAGAGAAACCAACCAAUAUGAUUCCGAAGAUGUUACCCGACCUUCUCAGUUCACUGAAACCAAGGGAAAACAUUCUGCAAAUAGUAGAAAACUGAUUCUGAGGAUACCACGCCGUGAUCUAAAAGUUCAGUUUCCUUCAGAAAGUGUAAAUCCAGAACUCCCACCUCAUUAUGCAGUGCUGUCACUUCCAGCAGCCAGAUACAAAGACGCUGAGCCGGAACUAGCUUUUGAGCCUGGAAACUCCUCUGCUUGCAAGUCUGAAUCACCUCUGGUCUCCGGUCUACAUGAUGCGGGUACUGUUCACAGUAAUGGCGCAAUCAAAGGGUGUGAGCUUAAGCUGCGACCUUCAAAGCAUUGCGAGUUCGGGGACUCUUCUUCAGGAGACACGUGGGUCUCUUCAAAUAAUGCACUUUCGCAUGAUGUUUAUGGGUCUGGUAGUCAGAAAACACCUAAUCAAUAUGAUAACGGCGUCCAACAAACGGUUGAGCAGAAUGUACAGAAAAGACAACGUGCAAUUUAUCUGGAUAGCAUCCAUGAAAACCACAAUACUGAUGAUUAUAGUGAAGGUAAUUUGCCUGGUAAAGAAUGGAUAACUGACAACAGGAAUACUCAUCUAGAGGAAGAAAAUAACAGGGAACACGAUCAGCAGUUCCACAGCACUCGGUCUAUAUCCUUUAAACUGAAGUUGUCCAGACCAAGAGGCUUUGCAGAUGGAGCAAGUUCAUCAGACAUAUCGAAGACUAGUGCAGUAGGGAGUGACAUCAACCAUGUUAAAGUUCCAAUGCAGCAUGAUGAGGUUUCUGCCACCAGUCAACAUAGGAGCAGUGACUUCCCUAGUGUGUCCAGACGUUUCCAGGACUUUGAAUCUGCGAAGACAUACGGCACCGUGUACAAAAGGUCACGGUCUAUAUCCUUUAAACUGAUCGUGUAACAGGGAACACGAUCAGCAGUUCCACAGCACUCGGUCUAUAUCCUUUAAACUGAAGUUGUCCAGACCAAGAGGCUUUGCAGAUGGAGCAAGUUCAUCAGACAUAUCGAAGACUAGUGCAGUAGGGAGUGACAUCAACCAUGUUAAAGUUCCAAUGCAGCAUGAUGAGGUUUCUGCCACCAGUCAACAUAGGAGCAGUGACUUCCCUAGUGUGUCCAGACGUUUCCAGGACUUUGAAUCUGCGAAGACAUACGGCACCGUGUACAAAAGGUCAGAGCCAAGUAAGCACAGGAAAAGAUUGGGUUCGGAUGCGUUUGGAAAUGGACAUAAUACUUCUGUUUCCAAUGAUGAUGGUGGACAUCAACCUCCAGACUGCAGUCCUGUUGCACCUACUGGUAGUUUACGAAGAAACGAAAGGAGGUCAUGUGCAUACACUGAUUAUGGUAGAGGAAGGGAUGCAAUCUCUCAUGUGCAAAGUUCUUCCCUCGAAGCAGCAACUAGUGGGAGACAAAUUGUUGCAAAUGUGCGUGAAGUAAUGUGGGGAUCAACAUCAAAGACUGCUGGUAUAAAGUCUUCUAUGAACAAAAGAGAGAGUUGCAACUUUCCUGAUACACAUCUAUUGGAGAAAAAGCACCAAGUAUCGAGGCCAUGGUUGAUGUUGCUAGAGCAUGAAGAUAUCUACCGUUAUAUUCCUCAACUUGGCGAUGAGGUUAUGUACUUGCGACAGGGUCAUGAAGAAUAUGUUUAUGAAGUGCAAUCAUCGGAUAAUUGCCCAUCAAAUCGGAUCAAAGGCCUUAAAGCUGCUGAGCUUUGCGAAAUUAAGGGUCUUGAUUACAAGCCAGAUAGAGGGUCUGGUGAAAGCUGCUGUGAAUUAACUAUUAAAUUCAUUGAUCACACUUCAAGUGGAUUUGGCAAAGAGUUUGUAAUCACAUUGCGUGAGCUAGUUACGUUCCCUGAUUUUCUUGUGGAAAGAACACGGUUUGAAGCUACUACCACGUAUAACUGGAGCAUCGCUGAUAGGUGCAAAGUUUGGUGGAUGGAUGAGGGAGAGGAUGGAGGAAGUUGGUGGGAGGGACGAGUAUUGGAAAUAAGACCUAAGUCACCUGAUUUUCCUGAGAGCCCUUGGGAGAAAUAUGUCAUACAGUAUGAAACUGAUGGUUCUGAACAUCCGCAUAGCCCCUGGGAGGUGCAUGAUGCUAAUAACCCAUUGGUUCCAUGGAAGCGUCCACAUAUUGAUCCCAGUACCAGGAACAAAUUGUUAUCAGCAGUGACCGGUUUACAGGAAAAGUCUCUCAGAAAUCAGGAUCGCUAUGGUGUUCUGAAGUUAGAUACUGUUGCAGGAAAAUCAGAUUUCAUAAACAGGUUCCCUGUCCAAUUCUCCAUUGAGGUGAUCAGAGCAAGACUACAGAGCGAUUACUACAGAACUCUGGAGGCUGUCAAACAUGAUGCCACUGUGAUGCUUGCCAAUGCCAAGUCUUAUUUUUCAAAGAGCGGCGAAAUGACCAAAAAGAUCCGCAAGCUAUCUGAGUGGAUCCAAGAUAAGAUUCUAUCACUAUAGGGGGAGGUGCUCUGUGCGCAGCAGGCAUUCUUCCCUUUUAGCAGAAUUUGCCACUCAUCCCGUGAGAUGAUCCUCUGUUUGCGUCGCAGAAGCAUGUUUUUGUUAAGAGGAAUGAGCCAAAAUAGUUGGCAGGUUGGGAGGGAUUUCUUGUGUAGCCCAACAUUUUGAAACUAUCUGAUCUGAUAUCCCUGGUUUACUGAUGCAAAUUGAAAUCCUGACCAUUUGACCCUUGUUUGCCGUGAAGAAAGAACUUGAGAGCCUUGUUAGAGAAAGAAAAUGCUAACGUGUAGAAUAUGGUAAAGGAAAUGCCCUACCAGAUCACUGGAUUUGUAUAGCAGACCGAGUAAAUCAUCGAUAACGAGAAGGCAAAAUCCCUGGACUCGAGUCCUACUCUUGAGUUCUCUAUAAUAAACUAAACAUCAGACUGAAAGCAACAUGUUUGGCGGAUGCUAGGCGUAAGCCGGCUGAUAAGAGCCAAACUUAAGCCGCCUCGUUAGCCACUCGAUCGGGCCAUCAGGAAGCGACAUCAGCCGUGGGAUCCAUCGAGUCAGCCCACUCAGCUUUUCCCUUCGCGUUUCUUUUGGCGGCUGCAAACAGCGUACACUUCGCGUCGGAGAGAAAAAGCAGCAGCCCCAGUUCGCAGCGCCAUGGCACCCCCUGUCAGCUCGAGCGCCCGACGGCGAUGCUGCAAAACAGCAGGUGCCGCAAACGGAGUUGUUUCGUUGAAGUAGCUGGUCAGUUGCAAACCGACGGCAAGCCUCAGACGAUCACCGCAGCGCGAAAAAAACUCGAGCCCUAGGUGGCGCUCCAUUGCGGUUCCGGUGAAGCUCCAUUGCAGCCGCGACAGAGCUCCAACGACUCCGGCAGCGCUCCAUUGCAGCUCCGGUGAAGCUCCAUUGCAGCGUCGGCGAGCUCCAACGACCCCGGCGGUGCUCCAUUGCAGCCCCGACACGCUCCAUUGCAGCGACGACAGAGCUCCAACGACCCCGGCGGUGCUCCAUUGCAGCCCUCGGCACGCUCCAUUGAAGCUCCGGCGAAGCUCCAUUGCAACCUUCCCGGAGCUCCAACGGCCCCGCGACGCUUCACUGCAGAUCCGGCGGCACCCGACGAUGCUUCAUUGCAACCUCAUCAGAGCUCCAACAACACCCGUGGCUCUAUUGCAACUCUGACGAAGCUCCAUUGCAGCCUGACGUAGCUCCAACGCAGUACGACGGUUCCCGGCGAUGUUUCGUUGCAGCACCGACGGGUCCCCGGCGAUGCUCCAUUGGAGCACCACGCAGCCCCGGGUGGCAGCACGGGAGUUGCUGGAAAAAACCGGCGAGCCACCGCGUCGCUCGCUUGAAGCAUGGACAGAGCGUCGUCAGCCCCCUAUUGCGACACCGCCACGACCCCCGGGUCCGGCCGGCUGCACACUCAGGCGAUGUGAUGUUGCGUUGUAGCACCGUCGCCAGCGAGCAGAGCCACGGAUGCUGCGUUCCAGCGCCGUCGCCAACCUUGCCCCCAAUCUCCGCCAUGGAUGUUGUGUCGUGAUGCAGCGUCUCGGCGUCCAAAUCUUCCCCCAACGCCGGCCAUCUUGCAGCAAUAGUGGCACCAGGACACACGGUGGUUGGAGGGAUCGCAGCCCACCUCCGGCAUGAGGCCCGGCCCCCCGGCGCGUCGCCGGUCGUCGUCGUGGAGCAGCUCGCAGCGUCUCACGUCACCGGGUCACAGCACAGCCCCCGUGUCCCAUUAUGAAGCGGUGGCUAUUGGUCAGCGGUGAUGACCGAGGGCAGCGACUAGGAGGGGAAGGGUGAAGGAGGAGCAGGAAAGUGGCGCGCGUGAAUCUGCUCUGUAGCGCGAGAUUCGGCCAUGGAGACUAGUGGAGCUAGCAAGCAGGCGCGGAGAAGAUGGC